This 66-nucleotide transfer RNA is filed under the name Polycarpa mytiligera. RNAcentral describes it as "transfer RNA-Trp". Lineage: Eukaryota; Metazoa; Chordata; Ascidiacea; Stolidobranchia; Styelidae. The record is from RNAcentral.
AGGGGUUUAAGUUAAUUUAAACUAAUCGUCUUCAAAAUGAUCAAUGUCUGAUAAAGGUAUCCCUUG